RNAcentral lists this ribosomal RNA (363 nucleotides) under Triticum aestivum (bread wheat). Its description in RNAcentral is "partial small subunit ribosomal RNA". Lineage: Eukaryota; Viridiplantae; Streptophyta; Magnoliopsida; Poales; Poaceae. The record is from RNAcentral.
AUUGGCUUUUCCUAGAAGGUGGGUAAUGGCAAGAGUGUUAGGUUUUGGGAAGAUAGGUGGACUGGCAAUGCUACACUUGCAACUAGUUGUUGGGAGUUGUAUAAUAUUGCCAAUACUACCAAUGUCUCCAUCAGUGAGGUGUGGGAUGGCGUGACUCUGAAAAUUAACUUUAGGAGAUGUUUUUCGCCGGACAUGCUUACUGCUUGGAAUGAGCUUUUUUGUGUAGUCAAGGAUCUGAGCUUAAAUGAUUGUGAGGACACUAUUAUUUGGGAUCUGGAGCCUAAGGGUAUAUACACUGUUAAAUCUUAUUAUAAUUUGGUGAAUUUUAGAGGAGUGGUUACAGACAACAUUAUUUUGAUCUGA